Molecule: ribosomal RNA, 464 nt
Filed under: uncultured bacterium
Lineage: Bacteria
Description: partial 16S ribosomal RNA
Rfam family: Bacterial small subunit ribosomal RNA
Source: RNAcentral
GACGAACGCUGGCGGCGUGCUUAACACAUGCAAGUCGAACGGAAAGGCCCUGCUUGCAGGGUACUCGAGUGGCGAACGGGUGAGUAACACGUGGGUGAUCUGCCUGCAAUUCGGGAUAAGCCCGGGGAACUGGGGCUAAUAACGGGUAGGAGGCAUUUUUUGGGGGGUGGUUGGAAAGGUUUUUCGGUGUAGGAUGAGCUCGCGGCCUAUCAGCUUGUUGGUGGGGUAAUGGCCUACCAAGGCGGCGACGGGUAGCCGGCCUGAGAGGGUGGACGGCCACAUUGGGACUGAGAUACGGCCCAGACUCCUACGGGAGGCAGCAGUGGGGAAUAUUGCACAAUGGGCGCAAGCCUGAUGCAGCGACGCCGCGUGGGGGAUGACGGCCUUCGGGUUGUAAACUCCUUUCGCUAGGGACGAAGCUUUUUGUGACGGUACCUAGAUAAGAAGCACCGGCUAACUACGUG